AGCACUCACACAAACUGAAGGGCCCGGUCUCACUCCUACCGUGCCCCCCACAACAGCCCUGAGUCUGUUUCCAGGUGGUGGGCGAGAGGGGUUUGAAAAUUUGCCCCAGGCUAUCCGCCUCCCAGCUGGGCAAGAAAAGGGCGUGGUUGUUCCCCCACUGAGGAGUCUGCACACCGGAUUUGCAUCUUCCCCUGAGUUCUGGCCUGGAGGCUUCUCGCCCCUGCAAAUUGUUACAAAGUUCAGCUAGAGGGUUCCUUCUUCCUGUGGAGUUUUACCUUCUGCUCCUCUGGCCACCCUCCUGAUGGAUCCCUGUGGUGCCAGGCAGGAAUGACCUGCUUAAGGACCCAGCGAGCUCCCAGGACCUUUCUGCUGCUUCCUCUACCCGUAUAUUUUGCUUGCUUCUCUACAUUGACUCAGCUCCAGCGAUUCCUGAGGAAUCUCAUCCACACUACCCUAUGGACUAAAAGGAAAAGCUCUUCAUGUGGUGUUAGCACGGAGAUGAGAAAGAGAGAAAGACAACAUCAUGCUUUGCUGUCUGUGUGUGAACUGAGUAACAGCUGUGAAGGAUCAGUCACCAAAAGACUUUGAAAGAAGAGGCUUGAUUGGUCACGGCCAUGGAAGUUUAAUUGGGAGAAAAGAACAUCUGCUUAUACGAAAACAUAUUAUAUUCAGCCAUCCCUGCCCUGACUUUGGCCUUUAAAAACAGUGGCAUUAAUUAUCUCAACAAAUGAAUCUUCGGGAUAAAAAUAAUCUAAAUAUUAUUUUACGCUUACUACAUAUUUGCAACGUGCUAAGCUCUUUAUGGUUGCUACCACAAAAAACAUUUAUAAUAUGAGGUUGUUUCCGUAUUUUGGCUAUUGUGAAUAGUGCUGCAAUAAACAUGGAAGUGCUGAUAUAUCUUUGAGAUCUUGACUUCAAACAAAAGAAGAAAAUCUUGCAAUAUAUGACAACACGGAUUAACCUGGAGGACAUUGUGCUUAGUGAAGUUAGCCAGUCACAGACUGACAAGUACUGCACGAUUCCACUUAUGAAGACUACAGUUCCUAUCUUCACAGGUGGCUGUUAGCUCUAAAUGAACUCAUUUAUUUUGAAAGCAUGAUUUAAAGUAUAGUUUUAAACUAUAAGCAUUUCAGAAGUGAUGACCCAUGACUCAAAUCUCAAAAAUAAAUGCUACAGUUCACAGUUGGAAUAUGGACACAAGAAAAAUAAUAGAUGAUGCCACUGAAAGGUAAACAUACCAUUCUGACAUGCAUGAAAAUGAAACGACAAAUUGAUACACGCAGUGCUUGGAAUGGAUGGAGUCCUUCUAAUGAGUGAUUACCUGUGGUAUAACUAUAUUGAUUGUGUUUGUACAUGUCAAAUGGGGCUGGCGAGGAUGAACUUGAAGAAAUCAAUCUUGGAACCUGCUAGGACAGCAGCCUCCUGGUUUCACAGUACUAAAUCAUGACUUCAAAAUUUUGAAGUAAAAGAAAACUGCAAAACUUUGUAAAGGUACCAGUCUCUUCCUGACACUAUUUGCCUUGGCAAAAGAUUCACUGUCAACUUAAAAGACUAACAUGUGCUCAGAUGAUGAUUUGUGGAGGACAGAUAAUUAUGAGUACAUUUAGAAAUACACACUCUUCCAAACCCUGCUCUUUCCAUAUAAUGAAGUUAUUUAUUUCUAUUUUUUAUUUAUUUUUCUAAUAAUUACAAACAUACUUUGGAGACCCACAUUCCUGUAUUAUUCUUUCAACAUACUGAAGAAGAGUUAUUUCUAUGCUUCUUUCUAUGUGUUGGGCUUAAGAUUUAUUAGAAGGAAUGUGUAAAAACAAAGGCAGCAAAGUUUCUAUUUUUAUUGGGAGUCACUCCCGGAGUAAGUGGGGAUAGUUGUGCACACACACACACACACAUUCAUGCACAAAGAAAGAGUGAUCAAGUGUAUAACACACUUUUAGCAGUGUUUUGCUGGAAGAAUAAAGUAUAACUCCUUGUCCGCCCUUUUAUUAUACUGGGGUUCACACUAAGAGAGUCUGAGGACCUGUGGAACUCCCAUUUGCAUGAAAUAACUUUUGCAUCUAUUCUGGAGGAAAACUUCCUAAGGCAGAUUUGGACAGAAAAUUGCUAUCAGCGCAAAUAAAACAAUGCAAAGCCUACUCCGGGGAACGUUGCUCUGCCACCACUACUGAAAUGGGUCAUCCCCUUGGUUUCUGAAUAAAGAAUUAUGAAACCUGGGGCUAGAAUGCUCAGGGAGGAAUUUACCAAUCCAAAUCUUCCCCUUAUGGUAGAGAACAAACUUUCAAGGUUUGUUCUCCACUGUAAGUGUGCGAGGGCUGUUAGGGACCGUAAUAUGGCUGCCGGAGACUGGUGUGUGUACCUCCUUGACUGUACGUCUCAUUUCCAGUUAUGAUUUUACAAUCAUCUCUUUCUCAACCUUUGCUUUUAAAUAUAGGAAGGUACGGCUCACCAUGGAGCGGACAUUUUCUUCAGGAGCGGUACGGUGUCUAAGAUAUGCAGAGGUUGUAUUCUAGUCCUAUAACUCAAUUCUCAAACACAUGGCUUUUAGCCAGGGAUAUCCUAAAGGAAAAUUACACUAUAUGCAACCCCUCCUUACUCCUCAAAUAUUAUCUAUAUUAAACACAGCUGAAAUUUGAGAGUGUCCUUACAGGUGAAAAUUUAACAAUUUAACAAAAGGACACUGCUGAAUGUGUGGGGACAAAGGAAGGAUGAAUCUUUCAUCAUGACAAAAGACUACUUGCCACAUUCUCCCUUAACUUAGAAAAACAGAAAAGAGGCUGGGCGUGGUGGCUCCUGCCUGUAACCUCAGCACUUUGGGAGGCUGAGAUGGGUGGAUCAUUUGAGGUCAGGAGUUCGAGACCAGCCUGGCCAACAUGGUGAAACCCCGCCUCUACUAAAAAAUUCAAAAACUAGCCAGGCAUGGUGGCGGGUGCCUGUAGUUCCAGCUACUCAGGAGGCUGAGGCAGGAGAAUCUCCUGAACCCAGGAGGCGGAGGUUGCAGUGAGUCGAGAUCACACCACUGCACUCCAGCAACAGAGCAAGGCUCUGUCUGUCUCAAAA
Molecule: long non-coding RNA, 3054 nt
Filed under: Homo sapiens (human)
Lineage: Eukaryota; Metazoa; Chordata; Mammalia; Primates; Hominidae
Description: HSALNT0333203
Source: RNAcentral